Molecule: ribosomal RNA, 253 nt
Filed under: uncultured bacterium
Lineage: Bacteria
Description: partial 16S ribosomal RNA
Rfam family: Bacterial small subunit ribosomal RNA
Source: RNAcentral
UACGUAGGGUGCGAGCGUUGUCCGGAAUUACUGGGCGUAAAGAGCUCGUAGGUGGUUUGUCGCGUUGUUCGUGAAAACUCACAGCUUAACUGUGGGCGUGCGGGCGAUACGGGCAGACUGGAGUACUGCAGGGGAGACUGGAAUUCCUGGUGUAGCGGUGGAAUGCGCAGAUAUCAGGAGGAACACCGGUGGCGAAGGCGGGUCUCUGGGCAUGUCCUGACGCUGAGGAGCGAAAGUGUGGGGAGCGAACAGG